GACAGAGGGGGCAAGCGUUGCUCGGAAUUACUGGGCGUAAAGGGUUCGUAGGUGGCCAACUAAGUCAGACGUGAAAUCCCUCAGCUUAACUGGGGAACUGCGUCUGAGACUGGAUGGCUUGAGUGCAGGAGAGGAACGCGGAAUUCCAGGUGUAGCGGUGAAAUGCGUAGAUAUCUGGAGGAACACCGGUGGCGAAGGCGGCGUUCUGGACUGCAACUGACACUGAGGAACGAAAGCCAGGGGAGCAAACGGG
This 253-nucleotide ribosomal RNA is filed under the name uncultured bacterium. Its description in RNAcentral is "partial 16S ribosomal RNA". It matches the Rfam family "Bacterial small subunit ribosomal RNA", at positions 524 to 776 of the family's 1533-position model. The record is from RNAcentral.